Sphaeramia orbicularis (orbiculate cardinalfish) is the source of this 127-nucleotide long non-coding RNA. RefSeq lists it as uncharacterized. NCBI's taxonomy places the organism in Eukaryota, Metazoa, Chordata, Actinopteri, Kurtiformes, Apogonidae. The record is from RefSeq and is a predicted model, not a curated record. The transcript has 4 exons.
AACUACAAGAAUGUCAUUAUAGAAUUGAUGAAGACCGGAGUCACAGUCGAAAUUGUCGAGCAGGUAACAUCUAAAAACUAUACCUUGUCUGAACAAAAGAAAAAAAGAAAAGUAUGAUUACAUUAAC